RNAcentral lists this ribosomal RNA (448 nucleotides) under uncultured bacterium. Its description in RNAcentral is "bacterial SSU rRNA". It matches the Rfam family "Bacterial small subunit ribosomal RNA", at positions 328 to 793 of the family's 1533-position model. The record is from RNAcentral.
UAACCAGACUCCUACGGGAGGCAGCAGUGGGGAAUAUUGCACAAUGGGGGAAACCCUGAUGCAGCAACGCCGCGUGAGUGAAGAAGUAUUUCGGUAUGUAAAGCUCUAUCAGCAGGGAAGAAAAUGACAGUACCUGACUAAGAAGCCCCGGCUAACUACGCGCCAGCAGCCGCGGUAAUACGUAGGGGGCAAGCGUUAUCCGGAUUUACUGGGUGUAAAGGGAGCGUAGACGGCCAAGCAAGCCAGGGGUGAAAGCCCGGGGCCCAACCCCGGGACUGCCCUUGGAACUGCAUGGCUGGAGUGCGGGAGGGGCAGGCGGAAUUCCUGGUGUAGCGGUGAAAUGCGUAGAUAUCAGGAGGAACACCGGCGGCGAAGGCGGCCUGCUGGACCGCGACUGACGUUGAGGCUCGAAAGCGUGGGGAGCGAACAGGAUUAGAUACCCGUGUAC